CCUACGGGGGGCAGCAGUGGGGAAUAUUGCACAAUGGGGGAAACCCUGAUGCAGCGACGCCGCGUGAGUGAAGAAGUAAUUCGUUAUGUAAAGCUCUAUCAGCAGGGAAGAAAAUGACCGUACCUGAGUAAGAAGCCCCGGCCAAAUAAGUGCCCGCAGCCGCGGUAAUACGGAGGGGGCAAGCGUUAUCCGGAUUUACUGGGUGGAAAGGGAGCGUAGACGGGAGAGCAAGUCUGGAGUGAAAGGCCGGGGCUCAACCGCAGAACUGCACUUAAAAACUGUAGGCUGGAGUACAGGAGAGGUAAGUGGAAUUCCUAGUGUAGCGGUGAAAUGCGUAGAUAUUAGGAGGAACACCAGUGGCGAAGGCGGCUUACUGGACUGUAACUGACGUUGAGGCUCGAAAGCGUGGGGAGCAAACAGGAUUAGAUACCCCAGUAGUC
This 440-nucleotide ribosomal RNA is filed under the name uncultured bacterium. Its description in RNAcentral is "partial 16S ribosomal RNA". It matches the Rfam family "Bacterial small subunit ribosomal RNA", at positions 338 to 795 of the family's 1533-position model. The record is from RNAcentral.